This 75-nucleotide transfer RNA is filed under the name Phocicoccus schoeneichii. RNAcentral's name for it is "Jeotgalicoccus schoeneichii tRNA-Gly". It matches the Rfam family "tRNA". From Rfam's summary of the family: Transfer RNA (tRNA) molecules are approximately 80 nucleotides in length. Their secondary structure includes four short double-helical elements and three loops (D, anti-codon, and T loops). Further hydrogen bonds mediate the characteristic L-shaped molecular structure. tRNAs have two regions of fundamental functional importance: the anti-codon, which is responsible for specific mRNA codon recognition, and the 3' end, to which the tRNAs corresponding amino acid is attached (by aminoacyl-tRNA synthetases). tRNAs cope with the degeneracy of the genetic code in two manners: having more than one tRNA (with a specific anti-codon) for a particular amino acid; and 'wobble' base-pairing, i.e. permitting non-standard base-pairing at the 3rd anti-codon position. RNAcentral also lists the same sequence under 1 other name. The record is from RNAcentral. Lineage: Bacteria; Bacillati; Bacillota; Bacilli; Caryophanales; Salinicoccaceae.
GCGGAGGUAGUUUAGUGUUCAUAACACUCUUCUUCCUGAAGAGAGACCCUGGUUUAAAUCCAGGCCUCCGCUCCA